Molecule: ribosomal RNA, 896 nt
Filed under: Dendrodochium pinastri
Lineage: Eukaryota; Fungi; Ascomycota; Sordariomycetes; Hypocreales; Bionectriaceae
Description: LSU rRNA
Rfam family: Eukaryotic large subunit ribosomal RNA
Source: RNAcentral
GCAUAUCAAUAAGCGGAGGAAAAGAAACCAACAGGGAUUGCCCUAGUAACGGCGAGUGAAGCGGCAACAGCUCAAAUUUGAAAUCUGGCCCUCGUGGUCCGAGUUGUAAUUUGUAGAGGAUGCUUUUGGUGCGGUGCCUUCCGAGUUCCCUGGAACGGGACGCCAUAGAGGGUGAGAGCCCCGUCUGGUUGGACACCAAUCCUCUGUAAAGCUCCUUCGACGAGUCGAGUAGUUUGGGAAUGCUGCUCUAAAUGGGAGGUAAAUGUCUUCUAAAGCUAAAUACCGGCCAGAGACCGAUAGCGCACAAGUAGAGUGAUCGAAAGAUGAAAAGCACUUUGAAAAGAGGGUUAAAUAGUACGUGAAAUUGUUGAAAGGGAAGCGUUUGUGACCAGACUUGGGCUUGGUUAAUCAUCCAGCGUUCUCGCUGGUGCACUUUGCCAGCCCAGGCCAGCAUCAGUUCGCUGCGGGGGAUAAAAGCUUCGGGAACGUGGCUCUUCGGAGUGUUAUAGCCCGCUGCAUAAUACCCUGUGGCGGACUGAGGUUCGCGCAUCUGCAAGGAUGCUGGCGUAAUGGUCAUCAACGACCCGUCUUGAAACACGGACCAAGGAGUCGUCUUCGUAUGCGAGUGUUCGGGUGUCAAACCCCUACGCGGAAUGAAAGUGAACGGAGGUGGGAGCCUCGGCGCACCAUCGACCGAUCCUGAAGUUUACGGAUGGAUUUGAGUAAGAGCAUACGGGGCCGGACCCGAAAGAAGGUGAACUAUGCCUGUAUAGGGUGAAGCCAGAGGAAACUCUGGUGGAGGCUCGCAGCGGUUCUGACGUGCAAAUCGAUCGUCAAAUAUGGGCAUGGGGGGCGAAAGACUAAUCGAACCUUCUAGUAGCUGGUUUCCGCCGAAG